This 274-nucleotide ribosomal RNA is filed under the name uncultured bacterium. RNAcentral's name for it is "partial 16S ribosomal RNA". It matches the Rfam family "Bacterial small subunit ribosomal RNA", at positions 523 to 796 of the family's 1533-position model. The record is from RNAcentral.
CUACGGAGGGUGCAAGUGUUAUUCGGAAUCACUGGGCGUAAAGGACGCGUAGGCGGGUUGGCAAGUCAGAUGUGAAAUCCUACAGCUUAACUGUAGAACUGCAUUUGAAACUGCUAACCUAGAGUAUGGGAGGGGGAGAUGGAAUUAGUGGUGUAGGGGUAAAAUCCGUAGAUAUCACUAGGAAUACCGAAAGCGAAGGCGAUCUCCUGGAACAUAACUGACGCUAAGGCGUGAAAGCGUGGGGAGCAAACAGGAUUAGAUACCCUAGUAGUCC